UGGCUUCCUUCCUCUCUCCCUAUCUGCCUUUCUUCCAACUACCCCCAGUUUGCUCGUAGUAAAGCUCAAGGAAGAGAGAAUGAAGGAGAGAAGGAGGUCAUUGUUAGGAACGACUGCUGCAGUGCUCGUACUUGUUCUGGUAUUGAUGAUCUGCGUGAGCUCUUCUUCACAGUACUCUGUGUGUCAUGGAAAUAAGAGAAGUGGUAGUGGAAGAGGUAGAACAGCGAGGAAGCUGGUUUCUGGGGCAAUUCUAGCUCAGCAGCAGCGGCAGGACAUGAGGUUUGAUGGCACGAUGAAACCCCUCAACCAGGCAGGUGUGAGCUUCAGGAAGAUACCGCCUUCUAGCUCGAAUCCCACCCAGAACAAGUAAAGCCAGUGUUCACCAUCAUAUCAUGCCACUGUCUCUCUCUCUCUCUCUCUCUCUUUUCUUGGCUUCAAUCUGUUUACGUUUCUAAGUGGAGUUGAUAUUUGUGUUAUAGGUCACGUCCUCGAGUGGAUGGCCCGGGGAACCCGUGAACCGCAUCAGGGAUUGGUGGCUUGCCAUGACAGAGAGAGAGAGGAGGAGUGUAGAGUAGUUCUGUAGUUCUCUUUUGUUUGCUUUUAAUCUUCUGUUCUUGUUUCUUUGCACCUUCUGAGCUUGUAACCUUUUCGCUGCUUUUCCACAAGUUCACUUUACAGAGAGACGAGCGUGGAAAAUGGCUCGCACCUCUUUUCCAGCUUGUCUCGCUAGUUUUGUAGCUGUAGCACGAACAAGCUUCCAUGUACCUAAGAAAGAAGUGAAGGCUUUUGUUCCAUUAUAUUGUUCUGGUUUUCUUGCCG
This 819-nucleotide long non-coding RNA is filed under the name Phoenix dactylifera (date palm). RNAcentral describes it as "long non-coding RNA (PDAC_LNC003461)". Lineage: Eukaryota; Viridiplantae; Streptophyta; Magnoliopsida; Arecales; Arecaceae. The record is from RNAcentral.